RNAcentral lists this ribosomal RNA (440 nucleotides) under uncultured bacterium. RNAcentral describes it as "partial 16S ribosomal RNA". It matches the Rfam family "Bacterial small subunit ribosomal RNA", at positions 338 to 795 of the family's 1533-position model. The record is from RNAcentral.
CCUACGGGAGGCAGCAGUAGGGAAUAUUGCUCAAUGGGGGAAACCCUGAAGCAGCAACGCCGCGUGGAGGAUGAAGGAUUUCGGAAUGUAAACUCCUUUUGUUAGAGAAGAUAAUGACGGUAUCUAACGAAUAAGCACCGGCUAACUCCGGGCCAGCAGCCGCGGUAAUACGGAGGGGGCAAGCGUUAUUCGGAUUCACUGGGCGUAAAGAGCGCGUAGGCGGGAUAGCAAGUCAGAUGUGAAAUCCUAUGGCUUAACCAUAGAACUGCAUUGGAAACUGUUAUUCUAGAGUAUGGGAGAGGUAGGUGGAAUUCUUGGUGUAGGGGUAAAAUCCGUAGAGAUCAAGAGGAAUACUCAUGGCGAAGGCGACCUACUAGAACAUAACUGACGCUGAUGCGCGAAAGCGUGGGGAGCAAACAGGAUUAGAUACCCUUGUAGUC